CGAACAGUCUCAGUUCGGAUUGAAGGCUGAAAUUCGCCUUCCAUGAAGCCGGAAUUGCUAGUAAUGGCAGGUCAGCAUACUGCCGUGAAUACGUUCCCGGGCCUUGUACACACCGCCCGUCACACCAUGAGAGUUGGGAAUACCCGAAGCCUGUGAGCUAACUUUUAGAGGCAGCAGUCGAAGGUAGAAUCAAUGAUUGGGGUGAAGUCGUAACAAGGUAAC
This 222-nucleotide ribosomal RNA is filed under the name uncultured bacterium. RNAcentral's name for it is "partial 16S ribosomal RNA". It matches the Rfam family "Bacterial small subunit ribosomal RNA", at positions 1279 to 1500 of the family's 1533-position model. The record is from RNAcentral.